GUGGAGCCGACCUUGAAAUACCACCCUUUAAUGUUUGAUGUUCUAACGUGGACCCGUAAUCCGGGUUGCGGACAGUGUCUGGUGGGUAGUUUGACUGGGGCGGUCUCCUCCUAAAGAGUAACGGAGGAGCACGAAGGUUGGCUAAUCCUGGUCGGACAUCAGGAGGUUAGUGCAAUGGCAUAAGCCAGCUUGACUGCGAGCGUGACGGCGCGAGCAGGUGCGAAAGCAGGUCAUAGUGAUCCGGUGGUUCUGAAUGGAAGGGCCAUCGCUCAACGGAUAAAAGGUACUCCGGGGAUAACAGGCUGAUACCGCCCAAGAGUUCAUAUCGACGGCGGUGUUUGGCACCUCGAUGUCGGCUCAUCACAUCCUGGGGCUGAAGUAGGUCCCAAGGGUAUGGCUGUUCGCCAUUUAAAGUGGUACGCGAGCUGGGUUUAGAACGUCGUGAGACAGUUCGGUCCCUAUCUGCCGUGGGCGCUGGAGAACUGAGGGGGGCUGCUCCUAGUACGAGAGGACCGGAGUGGACGCAUCACUGGUGUUCGGGUUGUCAUGCCAAUGGCACUGCCCGGUAGCUAAAUGCGGAAGAGAUAAGUGCUGAAAGCAUCUAAGCACGAAACUUGCCCCGA
This 623-nucleotide ribosomal RNA is filed under the name Salmonella enterica subsp. enterica serovar Infantis. RNAcentral describes it as "partial 23S ribosomal RNA". It matches the Rfam family "Bacterial large subunit ribosomal RNA", at positions 2180 to 2802 of the family's 2925-position model. Lineage: Bacteria; Pseudomonadati; Pseudomonadota; Gammaproteobacteria; Enterobacterales; Enterobacteriaceae. The record is from RNAcentral. RNAcentral also lists the same sequence under 2 other names.